Molecule: ribosomal RNA, 254 nt
Filed under: uncultured bacterium
Lineage: Bacteria
Description: partial 16S ribosomal RNA
Rfam family: Bacterial small subunit ribosomal RNA
Source: RNAcentral
UACGUAGGGGGCAAGCGUUGUCCGGAAUCAUUGGGCGUAAAGCGCGUGUAGGCGGCCAGAAAAGUCCGCUGUGAAAACUCGAGGCUCAACUUCGAGCUGUCGGUGGAAACUUUCUGGCUAGAGUCCGGAAGAGGAGAAUGGAAUUCCUGGUGUAGCGGUGAAAUGCGCAGAUAUCAGGAGGAACACCGGUGGCGAAGGCGGUUCUCUGGGCCUGUACUGACGCUGGAGGAACGAAAGCGUGGGGAGCGAACAGG